Molecule: ribosomal RNA, 843 nt
Filed under: Escherichia coli
Lineage: Bacteria; Pseudomonadati; Pseudomonadota; Gammaproteobacteria; Enterobacterales; Enterobacteriaceae
Also listed under: 10 other names
Description: partial 23S ribosomal RNA
Rfam family: Bacterial large subunit ribosomal RNA
Source: RNAcentral
GGUUAAGCGACUAAGCGUACACGGUGGAUGCCCUGGCAGUCAGAGGCGAUGAAGGACGUGCUAAUCUGCGAAAAGCGUCGGUAAGGUGAUAUGAACCGUUAUAACCGGCGAUGUCCGAAUGGGGAAACCCAGUGCAAUUCGUUGCACUAUCGUUAACUGAAUACAUAGGUUAACGAGGCGAACCGGGGGAACUGAAACAUCUAAGUACCCCGAGGAAAAGAAAUCAACCGAGAUUCCCCCAGUAGCGGCGAGCGAACGGGGAGCAGCCCAGAGUCUGAAUCAGCUUGUGUGUUAGUGGAACGGUCUGGAAAGUCCGACGGUACAGGGUGAUAGUCCCGUACACCAAAAUGCACAGGCUGUGAACUCGAAGAGUAGGGCGGGACACGUGGUAUCCUGUCUGAAUAUGGGGGGACCAUCCUCCAAGGCUAAAUACUCCUGACUGACCGAUAGUGAACCAGUACCGUGAGGGAAAGGCGAAAAGAACCCCGGCGAGGGGAGUGAAAAAGAACCUGAAACCGUGUACGUACAAGCAGUGGGAGCACCUUCGGGUGUGACUGCGUACCUUUUGUAUAAUGGGUCAGCGACUUAUAUUCUGUAGCAAGGUUAACCGUAUAGGGGAGCCGCAGGGAAACCGAGUCUUAACUGGGCGUUAAGUUGCAGGGUAUAGACCCGAAACCCGGUGAUCUAGCCAUGGGCAGGUUGAAGGUUGGGUAACACUAACUGGAGGACCGAACCGACUAAUGUUGAAAAAUUAGCGGAUGACUUGUGGCUGGGGGUGAAAGGCCAAUCAAACCGGGAGAUAGCUGGUUCUCCCCGAAAGCUAUUUAGGUAGCGCCUCGUGAA